RNAcentral lists this microRNA precursor (78 nucleotides) under Schistosoma mattheei. RNAcentral's name for it is "mir-3492 microRNA precursor family". It matches the Rfam family "mir-3492 microRNA precursor family". The record is from Rfam by way of RNAcentral. Lineage: Eukaryota; Metazoa; Platyhelminthes; Trematoda; Strigeidida; Schistosomatidae.
AACUUUUUGAAUCCGUGCUGAGAUUUCGUCAAACACAAACUCAUUUUUGCUGAUCAGACUCCCAAGAUAAGUGAAGUU